UGCCGUCUUUUCUAUCAGAAGAGAAUC
RNAcentral lists this non-coding RNA (27 nucleotides) under Rattus norvegicus (Norway rat). The record is from RNAcentral. Lineage: Eukaryota; Metazoa; Chordata; Mammalia; Rodentia; Muridae.